Molecule: ribosomal RNA, 497 nt
Filed under: uncultured bacterium
Lineage: Bacteria
Description: partial 16S ribosomal RNA
Rfam family: Bacterial small subunit ribosomal RNA
Source: RNAcentral
UCUUCCCUCUGGCGGCGUGCCUAAUACAUGCAAGUCGAGCGAACAGAUGAGGAGCUUGCUCCUCUGACGUUAGCGGCGGACGGGUGAGUAACACGUGGAUAACCUACCUAUAAGACUGGGAUAACUUCGGGAAACCGGAGCUAAUACCGGAUAAUAUAUUGAACCGCAUGGUUCAAUAGUGAAAGACGGUUUUGCUGUCACUUAUAGAUGGAUCCGCGCCGCAUUAGCUAGUUGGUAAGGUAACGGCUUACCAAGGCAACGAUGCGUAGCCGACCUGAGAGGGUGAUCGGCCACACUGGAACUGAGACACGGUCCAGACUCCUACGGGAGGCAGCAGUAGGGAAUCUUCCGCAAUGGGCGAAAGCUUGACGGAGCAACGCCGCGUGAGUGAUGAAGGUCUUCGGAUCGUAAAACUCUGUUAUUAGGGAAGAACAAAUGUGUAAGUAACUAUGCACGUCUUGACGGUACCUAAUCAGAAAGCCACGGCUAACUACGUG